This 806-nucleotide long non-coding RNA is filed under the name Coturnix japonica (Japanese quail). RNAcentral describes it as "lncRNA (ENSCJPG00005005642.1)". Lineage: Eukaryota; Metazoa; Chordata; Aves; Galliformes; Phasianidae. The record is from RNAcentral.
ACCCUACUGACCAGACCAUUUUACCUCCAAAGCAGAGUGGUCACACCUGAAGCAGGAAUGAGAAUGGUCCCAUGCCUCUUCUAACCUUAAGACACACUUGGGAACUGUAUGCGAGUGUGCUCCUGUGGUUGAAGGUUGCCCACAAACAGGGCAGCCCCUUGCUCCACAGGGACUGUCAGAAGGAGUGACCCACCCUGUCAAAUGCAAGAGACUUGGACUGUCACUGUCUGCACUCCAGAAAGGACGGGAAGUGACAAAGGAUGCUAAAUUGCCUUUAGUAGAUGGGUGGGUGAAAUGUUAUAGAACACUGAAACAAGGUUUCCAGGGAGCUUGGCUGUAUUCAAAAGAGACAAACUAGCCUUUGUACAUAUGGGAAGAUUUCUGUGUCAAACGUACAAGAGCAACGUGUUCCAGUCCUCCCCUGUUCAGGUUGUCUGUCUGUCUAAGAUGAAGAGCCCCCGAUGCCAUGAAUACUGUCUUCAUCUUAUGAGGUUCCCGAGAAAGACAACACUGGACCACCAUGUUUCCCUAGUUCUAAGGGGGAGAUUCUGCAAGAACUAACAGAAGUCCAUUGAAAGCCUUUAUGCUGUACAAACAACCAAAACACACACACAGAUUCCCUACAGCCUGGCCAUUGCUAGGAAUAAUGCUGCCAAAAGACACGGUCCAAGCUCUAUUACAAUCUCAAGUCAUGAAACAAGAAGGCAACAUCACAACAAGGACUCCCAUCCUCCUACUAAUCAUGUGUCCUGCCACGCAAGUGAACAGAAUACUUCAUUUUUCAGUGCUGUACAUUUUCCACAAGC